UGCGAAAGCAGGUCAUAGUGAUCCGGUGGUUCUGAAUGGAAGGGCCAUCGCUCAACGGAUAAAAGGUACUCCGGGGAUAACAGGCUGAUACCGCCCAAGAGUUCAUAUCGACGGCGGUGUUUGGCACCUCGAUGUCGGCUCAUCACAUCCUGGGGCUGAAGUAGGUCCCAAGGGUAUGGCUGUUCGCCAUUUAAAGUGGUACGCGAGCUGGGUUUAGAACGUCGUGAGACAGUUCGGUCCCUAUCUGCCGUGGGCGCUGGAGAACUGAGGGGGGCUGCUCCUAGUACGAGAGGACCGGAGUGGACGCAUCACUGGUGUUCGGGUUGUCAUGCCAAUGGCACUGCCCGGUAGCUAAAUGCGGAAGAGAUAAGUGCUGAAAGCAUCUAAGCACGAAACUUGCCCCGAGAUGAGUUCUCCCUGACUCCUUGAGAGUCCUGAAGGAACGUUGAAGACGACGACGUUGAUAGGCCGGGUGUGUAAGCGCAGCGAUGCGUUGAGCUAACCGGUACUAAUGAACCGUGAGGCUUAACCUUACAACGCCGAAGCUGUU
Molecule: ribosomal RNA, 550 nt
Filed under: Escherichia coli
Lineage: Bacteria; Pseudomonadati; Pseudomonadota; Gammaproteobacteria; Enterobacterales; Enterobacteriaceae
Description: partial 23S ribosomal RNA
Rfam family: Bacterial large subunit ribosomal RNA
Source: RNAcentral